UAAGAGAUCCUUAACAUCUGUUGCCUGGGCUGGCGAGUUCUUUGCAUGAGAAGCCAUGAGUAGAUUGAGCUGCAGCCUGACAUCUGGAAUGUUCUUUCUAAUUACAGUACUCGCAGAAGGAAGACAAAUAUGAGGAAGAGAUCAAGGUCCUUUCCGACAAGCUGAAGGAGGCUGAGACUCGAGCUGAGUUUGCGGAGAGGUCAGUAACUAAAUUGGAGAAAAGCAUUGAUGACUUAGAAGAUAAGUUUCUUUGCUUCACUUCUCCCAAGACUCCCUCAUCGAGCUGGAUGUCCCACCUCUCUGAGCUCUGCAUUUGUCUGUUCUCCAGCUGACCCUGGUUCUCUCUCUUAGCAUCCUGCCUUAGAGCCAGGCACACACUGUGCUUUCUAUUGUACAGAAACUCUUCAUUUCAGUGUCAAAUAAACACUGUGUAAGCU
RNAcentral lists this small RNA (437 nucleotides) under Pongo abelii (Sumatran orangutan). RNAcentral describes it as "retained intron". The record is from RNAcentral. Lineage: Eukaryota; Metazoa; Chordata; Mammalia; Primates; Hominidae.